GAUGAACGCUGGUUGCGUGCCUAAUACAUGCAAGUCGAGCGAACGGACGAGAAGCUUGCUUCUCUGAUGUUAGCGGCGGACGGGUGAGUAACACGUGGAUAACCUACCUAUAAGACUGGGAUAACUUCGGGAAACCGGAGCUAAUACCGGAUAAUAUUUCGAACCGCAUGGUUCAAAAGUGAAAGACGGUCUUGCUGUCACUUAUAGAUGGAUCCGCGCUGCAUUAGCUAGUUGGUAAGGUAACGGCUUACCAAGGCAACGAUGCAUAGCCGACCUGAGAGGGUGAUCGGCCACACUGGAACUGAGACACGGUCCAGACUCCUACGGGAGGCAGCAGUAGGGAAUCUUCCGCAAUGGGCGAAAGCCUGACGGAGCAACGCCGCGUGAGUGAUGAAGGUCUUCGGAUCGUAAAACUCUGUUAUUAGGGAAGAACAUAUGUGUAAGUAACUGUGCACAUCUUGACGGUACCUAAUCAGAAAGCCACGGCUAACUACGUGCCAGCAGCCGCGGUAAUACGUAGGUGGCAAGCGUUAUCCGGAAUUAUUGGGCGUAAAGCGCGCGUAGGCGGUUUUUUAAGUCUGAUGUGAAAGCCCACGGCUCAACCGUGGAGGGUCAUUGGAAACUGGAAAACUUGAGUGCAGAAGAGGAAAGUGGAAUUCCAUGUGUAGCGGUGAAAUGCGCAGAGAUAUGGAGGAACACCAGUGGCGAAGGCGACUUUCUGGUCUGUAACUGACGCUGAUGUGCGAAAGCGUGGGGAUCAAACAGGAUUAGAUACCCUGGUAGUCCACGCCGUAAACGAUGAGUGCUAAGUGUUAGGGGGUUUCCGCCCCUUAGUGCUGCAGCUAACGCAUUAAGCACUCCGCCUGGGGAGUACGACCGCAAGGUUGAAACUCAAAGGAAUUGACGGGGACCCGCACAAGCGGUGGAGCAUGUGGUUUAAUUCGAAGCAACGCGAAGAACCUUACCAAAUCUUGACAUCCUUUGACAACUCUAGAGAUAGAGCCUUCCCCUUCGGGGGACAAAGUGACAGGUGGUGCAUGGUUGUCGUCAGCUCGUGUCGUGAGAUGUUGGGUUAAGUCCCGCAACGAGCGCAACCCUUAAGCUUAGUUGCCAUCAUUAAGUUGGGCACUCUAAGUUGACUGCCGGUGACAAACCGGAGGAAGGUGGGGAUGACGUCAAAUCAUCAUGCCCCUUAUGAUUUGGGCUACACACGUGCUACAAUGGACAAUACAAAGGGCAGCGAAACCGCGAGGUCAAGCAAAUCCCAUAAAGUUGUUCUCAGUUCGGAUUGUAGUCUGCAACUCGACUACAUGAAGCUGGAAUCGCUAGUAAUCGUAGAUCAGCAUGCUACGGUGAAUACGUUCCCGGGUCU
RNAcentral lists this ribosomal RNA (1372 nucleotides) under uncultured bacterium. RNAcentral describes it as "bacterial SSU rRNA". It matches the Rfam family "Bacterial small subunit ribosomal RNA", at positions 28 to 1381 of the family's 1533-position model. The record is from RNAcentral.